AUUGAACGCUGGCGGCAUGCCUAACACAUGCAAGUCGAACGGCAGCACAGCAGUAGCAAUACUGUGGGUGGCGAGUGGCGGACGGGUGAGGAAUACGUCGGAAUCUGCCCAGUCGUGGGGGAUAACUAGCCGAAAGGUUAGCUAAUACCGCAUACGACCGAGAGGUGAAAGCGGGGGACCGCAAGGCCUCGCGCGAUUGGAUGAGCCGACGUCGGAUUAGCUAGUUGGCGGGUAAAGGCCCACCAAGGCGACGAUCCGUAGCUGGUCUGAGAGGAUGAUCAGCCACACUGGAACUGAGACACGGUCCAGACUCCUACGGGAGGCAGCAGUGGGGAAUAUUGGACAAUGGGCGCAAGCCUGAUCCAGCAAUGCCGCGUGUGUGAAGAAGGCCUCGG
Molecule: ribosomal RNA, 395 nt
Filed under: uncultured bacterium
Lineage: Bacteria
Description: bacterial SSU rRNA
Rfam family: Bacterial small subunit ribosomal RNA
Source: RNAcentral